This 2541-nucleotide long non-coding RNA is filed under the name Triticum aestivum (bread wheat). RNAcentral's name for it is "long non-coding RNA (TAES_LNC017051)". The record is from RNAcentral. Lineage: Eukaryota; Viridiplantae; Streptophyta; Magnoliopsida; Poales; Poaceae.
GCAUAUCGGCCUGGGCGACCCGGUGGUGAACCAGUGCUGCCCGCUGCUGGAGGGGCUGGUGGAGCUGGAGGCGGCGGUGUGCCUCUGCACCACCAUCCGGCUCAAGCUCCUCAACAUCAACCUCGCCCUGCCCCUCGCCCUCCAGCUCCUCCUCUCCUGCGGCAAGACCCCGCCACCCGGCUUCACCUGCUCCAUCUAGCCGACCUAACCUGGGUGAGUCAGUGCGCCAGUGCCCACUGCACGUGGAGAUUGAUGGAUCAUGGAUGGAUCGACAUGAGAGGAUGUCGAGCGUGGUCGCCUACUAGCUAGUAGCGAGCAAGAAGAGAUCGAUCGAUCAGCUUGUUUUUCUUGUGGUUUUUAUUUUGUGUUUGGCUAGGUCUGUGUGUUGUGGUUUGAUGCCAGAGGUGAUAAUCUAUGUGUGCUGAUCAAUUAAUUGGUCACAACUGAUGACCAACUGGUUAAGCUAGCAAAUAAGAAGGAAACAAGUAAACAGUAAUAGUAGUAAGAUUCCAUGCCAUGAAUAAUUCACAUAGCUGUUCCAAGUGACCAGUCGUGAUUGGAUUAGACAUCGAUCCUGACUAGGAGUAUGUUGGUGCAUGCAUGCAUGACUGCGACAGUGCAUGCACGGAUUAUACGUAUCUCUUUUCAAUGUCGGCGGUAAUUUGCAGUGGUUACCAAGAGGAUCUUCUGUGGUGGUAAUUUGCAGUGGUACCAAGAGGAUCUUCUGUGGUGGUAAUUUGCAGUGGUACCAAGAGGAUCUUGUGUGUGUAAAAAAAAAAGCGAUCUCACCCGCAAAAAAAAAACAAAAAAAAAAAAACAAUCCGCUUCAAACAAGCCUUAAACAUCAAGCUGACCGGCACCCCUUAUAUCUACCCUAAUGUAGGGCAGAUAUGGGGAUGCCCGGGUGCGACCUCCACGUCGAACGCAACACCAUGACAACAUCAUAAAUUGCGCCAAAUNNNNNNNNNNGCGAAAGCGCCGCCGAGUGGAGGUGGUGGAAGCAGGCAGUGAGCUGGCCUGUGGGGGAAUCGGGCUGCAGGAGGAAGACAGCUAGACGUUGAAGACUAAUAGUGCACACAGGAUCAUGACUGUUGGAUUGUGAUCUAACAGUCCAAAAACUUGACUAACAUAAUUUGCUUUCUUUUCAGGCACCGCACUACACGGCUAGGAAAUGGAAAGUCUCAAUUCACGCAAUCACGCGUGUUUCGUUUGGAGGUAAUAUAAUUUGGCCCCGUGCAGUGGGUGGUGAUUGGUGAAGCUUCGAACAACACAUCACAGUCCACGGUAGGUCACUCAGUCACAGACGCACAAUUUGAAAACCCUAGCCACCAACGAGAUCACGGGCCUCCAAUCGCAAGCAACCAGCUAGCUCGCUCUAUAAAACUACAGUACUCAGAAACCCUAGAAGCACACCCACCACUCCUCCUGUCCACCACCACGCUCGUUCACUACUACCACCAGCUGGCAGCCAUGGCGGCGAGCACGAAGAAGCUCUACCCGCUCCUGCUCACCCUCCUACUGCUCCUCACCACCGCCGCCGCGGUGCCCGCCAUCGACUGCGACUGCGGCAACCCCAAGGCCCCCAAGCCCUCCCACCCGCCCAAGACCAAGCCCCCCACCAAGGGCCCCAAGCCGGGACCCAAGGGCCCCACCUACCCGUCGCCGGCGCCCAAGGGUCACCUCCCGCACCCGCCGGUCGUCGGCCCGCCGAAGGGCCACGUCCCUCGCCCGCCGGUCGUCGGUCCUCCGAAGGGCCACGUCCCUCACCCGCCGGUAGUCGGACCUCCGAAGGGCCACGUCCCCCGCCCGCCGGUCUACGGUCCGCCCAAGGGCCCCAUCACGCGCCCGCCGGUCACCGCUCCUCCCGUCGUCGUCGGGCCGCCGGUGACCUACCCCACGCCGCCAGUGACUGCCCCGCCGGUCACCUACCCCGCGCCGCCUGUGACCGCCCCUCCGGUCACCUACCCGGCGCCACCAGUGACCACCCCUCCAGUCACCUACCCCGCGCCGCCGGUGACCAACCCCCCGGUCACGUACCCGUCGCCUCCGGUGAACACGCCAUGCCCUCCUCCGCCUCCGGCGACGCCCGCGGCGCAGACGUGCCCGGUGGACUCGCUGAAGAUCGGCGCGUGCGUGGACCUGCUGGGCGGGCUGGUGCACGUGGGCCUCGGCGACCCGGUGGUGAACAAGUGCUGCCCGCUGCUGGAGGGGCUGGUGGAGCUGGAGGCGGCGGUGUGCCUCUGCACCACCAUCCGGCUCAAGCUCCUCAACAUCAACCUCGUCCUGCCCCUCGCCCUCCAGCUCCUCCUCACCUGCGGCAAGACCCCUCCCCCCGGCUACACCUGCUCCAUCUGAUCGAGCUAAGCUCGGUAAGUCGGUGCACGUGGAGAUGGUGGAUCAUGGAUGGAUCGACAUGAGAGGAUGUCGAACGUGGUCGUAGUACGUAGCGAGCAAGAAGAAGAGAUUGAUCGAUCAGCUAUGAAGGGAUCGAUGAGUACGCGUUUGUUUUUCUUCAUUUCUUGUGGUUUCCUUUUUGUGUUU